AGAGUUUGAUCCUGGCUCAGGACGAACGCUGGCGGCGCGCCUAACACAUGCAAGUCGAACGGAGCUGAGAGGAGCUUGCUUUUUCUUUAGUCUUUAGUGGCGAACGGGUGAGUAACGCGUGAGUAACCUGCCCUGGAGUGGGGGACAACAGUUGGAAACGACUGCUAAAUACCGCAUAAGCCCACGGAUCCGCAUGGAUCUGCGGGAAAAAGGAUUUAUUCGCUUCAGGAUGGACUCGCGUCCAAUUAGCUAGUU
This 255-nucleotide ribosomal RNA is filed under the name uncultured bacterium. RNAcentral describes it as "partial 16S ribosomal RNA". It matches the Rfam family "Bacterial small subunit ribosomal RNA", at positions 8 to 250 of the family's 1533-position model. The record is from RNAcentral.